GGAUGCGAUCAUACCAGCACUAAAGCACCGAAUCCCAUCAGAACUCCAAAGUUAAGCGUGCUUGGGCGAGAGUAGUAUUAGGAUGGGUGACCUCCUGGGAAGUCCUCGUGUUGCAUUCC
This 119-nucleotide ribosomal RNA is filed under the name Triticum aestivum (bread wheat). Lineage: Eukaryota; Viridiplantae; Streptophyta; Magnoliopsida; Poales; Poaceae. The record is from RNAcentral.